UCCCAAAUAAGUUGCCUGCCAAACUAACUUUCUUCAGCACACCAUUGAAUGCUAAUGAAAUCCCAAUAGUGUUGUUUCUGUCUGCACCUGUCACACUUUUGGAUUCAUCUCACAUGUGAACUAUUUCAAUUCGUUGCUUCUUUAGCUGUGAGCGAUUCAUUCUCAUCUGAACAAACAACCGUUUUUGACGACCACCCACCUCCCCACCAGCUAUAAUAACUUUGAGGCACGUCAUUGGAACACCUUUCUCCCAGUAGGGGAGCGUUUCGAUGCCAGCAGUCCCGAAUAGGGCUACCCGUGAUCACAUCCUCUGGCUCUGAGGAUCUUCCCUCGGAGAUGAAGCCAUUCCACAAACUAUUUAAUAAAAUGUCAUGUUGCAUUCUG
Long non-coding RNA from Oncorhynchus keta (chum salmon), 384 nucleotides. RefSeq lists it as uncharacterized. The record is from RefSeq and is a predicted model, not a curated record. The transcript is spliced from 2 exons. Lineage: Eukaryota; Metazoa; Chordata; Actinopteri; Salmoniformes; Salmonidae.